Molecule: ribosomal RNA, 253 nt
Filed under: uncultured bacterium
Lineage: Bacteria
Description: partial 16S ribosomal RNA
Rfam family: Bacterial small subunit ribosomal RNA
Source: RNAcentral
UACAGAGGUCUCGAGCGUUAGGCGGAAUCACUGGGCUUAAAGCGUGUGUAGGCGGAUCGGUAAGUACCUUGUGAAAUCCCACAGCUUAACUGUGGAACUGCUUGGUAUACUGCCAGUCUUGAGCCACUUAGGGGCUACCGGAACAAAUGGUGGAGCGGUGAAAUGCGUAGAUAUCAUUUGGAACGCCAAUGGUGAAAACAGGUAGCUGGGAGUGUGCUGACGCUGAGACGCGAAAGCCAGGGGAGCAAACGGG